Long non-coding RNA from Nasonia vitripennis (jewel wasp), 468 nucleotides. RefSeq lists it as uncharacterized. Lineage: Eukaryota; Metazoa; Arthropoda; Insecta; Hymenoptera; Pteromalidae. The record is from RefSeq and is a predicted model, not a curated record. The transcript is spliced from 3 exons.
GGUAGCCAACGCUCCGUGCUAGUCGCAGCUUGUGUUGUGCGAGCCUUAUUUUUUCAGCACUAGAAGAAAAGCGAGCAUGAAACGCAGAGGCUUCGUACCUCGUGGCCGUUUUCGAGGGAGAAACCGAGGACGCGGUGGUCGGGCGGCGUCUCGUUAAGUAGGAGAUUACGCGCGAUACCGACCUUAUUGCUACAAUAUUGAGAUUGUUAAGGAUCCUCGUACCUCGGCGUUCCCAUUAUUAGUGAAUCCUGUGCAUCAAAAUGAAGCUGAAAGGAACGCCAAUGCUGCUCCCCUGCAAAAUCAGCAGGCUGACGAUGCACAAGAUCAGAAUGCCCAGGAGGAACAAAACAUUGGUGCUGAUAAUGCAGCAAAUGGAAAUGCUCCAGAUGCAGCAAAUCAUGCAGCAAAUGGAAACGCUCCAGAUCAAGAAUUGCCUCCACCGAAGCCUUUUACAUGGGAUUAUCUAAA